UGCGCAGGCGGUUUGUUAAGACACGAGGUGAAAUCCCCGGGCGUCAACCUGGGAACGUGCCUUUGUGACUGCAAGGCUGGAGUGCGGCAGAGAGGGAUGGAAUUCCGCGUGUAGCAGUGAAAUGCGUAGAUAUGCGGAGGAACACCGAUGGCGAAGGCAAUCCCCUGGGCCUGCACUGACGCUCAUGCACGAAAGCGUGGGGAGCAAACA
Molecule: ribosomal RNA, 210 nt
Filed under: uncultured bacterium
Lineage: Bacteria
Description: partial 16S ribosomal RNA
Rfam family: Bacterial small subunit ribosomal RNA
Source: RNAcentral